GGGCCAUUGGCGCAAUGGUAGCGCGUCUGAUUCCAGUUCCACGUUGGGAUGUCCAGAAGGUUAGCCGUUCAAAUCGGCUAUGGCUCA
Molecule: non-coding RNA, 87 nt
Organism: Trematosphaeria pertusa
Lineage: Eukaryota; Fungi; Ascomycota; Dothideomycetes; Pleosporales; Trematosphaeriaceae
Source: the annotation of a RefSeq genome assembly